Molecule: long non-coding RNA, 3604 nt
Organism: Homo sapiens (human)
Lineage: Eukaryota; Metazoa; Chordata; Mammalia; Primates; Hominidae
Exons: 3
Source: RefSeq, a predicted model, not a curated record
CAGAUAAGGUUGGCAUUUAAUCAGCAGACUUGAGAAAAGUCACGUACCUUCCAUAAUGUGGGUGAGCUUCCUCCAGGCAGUUGAGGGCCUUAAGAGAAAAGGGUGAUGUCUACCAGAGGAAGAGGGAAAUCUGCCUUCAACCUGAGUUCACAUUCAAGUUGCAAGAUCAGCUCUUCCCUGGGUCUCCAGCCUGCUCAGCAGAUUUUGAUUUUGCUAGCCCCUACAAUCAUGCAAAUGAAUGUGAACAUUCACAUUUUCUUUCCCCUGACGUAGAGAAAUCUUCAUGAGGAUGGAGAACAUAGGAGUUAAGCCACUUUCAGAGGUGGGAAUGGAAAUUUUCAGAUUUGAUGAUGUUCCAGGUAGAGAAAUAACACCAUUGAUUCAAGAAAGAAAAAUGGGCCUAAAAGACGGAGUUUCACUCUUGUUGCCCAGGCUGGAGUGCAGUGGCCUGAUCUCGGCUCACAGCAACCUCCACCUCCCGGAUUCAAGCCAUUCUUCUGCCUCAGCCUCCGGAGUAGCUAGGAUUACAGGCAUAUGCCACCACGCCUGGCUAAUUUUGUAUUUUUAGUAGAGACGGGGUUUCUCCAUGUUGGUCAGGCUGGUCUCGAACUCCGGACCUCAGGUGAUCCGCCCGCCUCGGCCUCCCAGAGUGCUGGGAUUACAGGCGUGAGCCACUGCGCCUGGCCAGACUAUGUUUUUAAAAGCCAUCCCAUGUGGCUAGAUGCAAGCGUGAUAGUAAAAAUACUUAAUAUUUUUAAUAUGCUAUGGAUAUUGAUUAGUGAAAUCAGACAUUGGCAUAAAUAACUGCUGUAAUUAUACCUACGCAAAUCAGCUUAACAUUAGCUCAGGAUACAUGUACACCUAAUGAAUUGUUUCUAGCCCUUACAUAGCAUUUCACCAUAUUCUGUAGUAUUCCAUGCAUCAUAGCUGUGGCUACUUGUAUUGUCUUCUAAUCUCUUCUUCCAUAAACAAUACAGCGGUGAACAUUGUUGUGAAUGUCUUUUUGUGGAUCUAUGUGAUAAAUCCUCUGGUUUAUGUUCCCUAGCAUAAAAUUAAUGCAUCAUGGGUUACAUGCAUUUUCAUUUCAGUAAGUACUGUCAAAUCAUCACCUAGAAGUGUUAUCCAUAUACACAACAACAGUGUAUGAGAUCUCGAUAUUCCUCUAAACUUUCCUAAUACUUACCUCACUGCCUACUUUUUACAUAAUUUAUGAGUGGAAAAAGAUAUCAUUGUUUUACAUACAAUCAAAUUUGAGUUAAUUUGAUAAUUUCCUAAGAAGUUGCUUAAUAUUUUGGAUGUAUCUUGAGGAGGAAGAUUGAUCUGCAAUCUUCCUUUGCGUCAAGACUUUGGUUUUGAAAUCAAGGUUAUUCUAGGAAUACAGCUAAUCAGGGAGGUGAAAGUGCUCUAUGUCAAAAAUUACAAAACACUGCUCAAAGUAAUCAGAGAUGACACAAGCAAAUGGAAAAACAUUCCAUUCUCAUGGAUAGGAAGAUUCAAUGUUGUUUAAAUGGCCAUACUGUUCAGAGAAAUUUACGGAUUCAAUGCUAUUCCUAUUAAACUACCAAUGAUACUCUUCACAAAAUUAGAAAAAAACUAUUAAAAACUUCAUAUGGAACCAAGGCAAUUCUAAACAAAAAGAACAAAGCCAGAGGCAUUAUGCCUGACUUCAAACUAUGCUACAAGACUACAGUGACCAAAACAGCAUGGUACUGGUAUAAAAACAGACUCAUAGACCAAUGAAACAGAAUAGAGAGCCCAGAAAUGAGCCAUACACCUAUAACCAUCUAUCUUCAACAAGUAGACAAAAACAAGUAAUGGGGAAAGGACUGCCUAUUCAAUGAAUGGUUCUGGGAUAACUGGCCACCCACAUGCAGAUUGAAACUAGACACCUUCCUUACACCAUAUACAAAAACCAACUCAAGAUAGAUUAAAUACUUAAAUGUAAACCUCAAAGUAUAAAAGCCCUGGAAAGUAACCUAAGAAAUACCAUUCUGGACAUCUGAUGUGGCAAAGAUUUCAUGAUGAAGAUGCCAUAGCAACUGCAACAAAAACAAAAAUUGACAAAUGGGACCUAGUUAAACCGAAGAGCUUCUGCACAGCAAAAGAAACUAUCAACAGAAUAAACAGACAACCUAUAGAAUGGGAGUAAAUACUUGCAAACUAAUCAACGGAUAAAGGUCUAACACCCAUAAUCUAUAAGAAACUUAAACUAAUCAACAAGCAAAACAAACAAAAAACAAACAAAAAACCCAUUAAAAAGUGGACAAAGGACAUGCACAGAUACUUCUCAAAAGAAGACAUACAUGUAGCCAACAAGCAUAUGAAAAAUGCUCAACAUCACUAAUCAUUAUAGAAAUGCAAAUCAAAACUACAGUGAGAUACCAUCUCACAACAGUCAGAAUGGCUACUACAUAAAAGUCAAAAAGUAUCAGAUGCUGGCAAGGCUGCAGAGAACAGGGAACACUUAAAAACUACUGGUGGAAAUGUAAAUUAGUUCAGCCACUGCGGAAGCAAUUUGGCGAUUUCUCAAAAAACUCAAAGCAGAAUUACCAUUCAACCCAUCAAUCUCAUUAUUGGGUAUAUACCCAAAGGAAUAUAAAUUAUUCUAUCAUAAAGACACAUCUAUGUUUAUGUUCAUUGUAGCACUAUUCACAAUAUCAAAGACAUCAGAUCAAUCUAAAUGCCCACCAGUGGUAGACUGGAUUAGGAGAAUGUGGUACAUAUACUUCAUGGAAUGAUACAUAGCCAUAAAAGGAAUGAGAUCUUUCUUGUCCUUUGUAACAACAUAAAUGGAGCUGGAGGUCAUUAUCCUAAGUGAACUAAGACAAGAACAGAAAACCAAAUAGUGCAUGUUUCCACUUAUAAAUGGGAAGUAAACAUUGAGUAUAUAUAGACACAAAGAAGGGAGCAAUAGACAAUGGGGUCUAAUUGAGGGUGGAGGGAGAGAGGAGAGUGAGGAUUUAAAAAAACUACCUAUCCGGUACUAUGCUUAUUACCUGAGUGGUGAAAGAAUCUGUACACAAAACCCCUGUGACAUGCAAUUUACCUAUAUAACAAUCCUGCACUUAUACCUCUGAACCUAAAAUAGAGGUUGAAAAGUAAAAUCAAGGCUAUUAUGACCAUUGCUAUCCUCUUUUUCUAUAAUCUAGUUUAGUUUACAUUAGGUUGGCAUUAUUUCUCCCUUGAGUGAUUGAGAAUAUAGCCCAUUGAAGCCCUUUAGGCCUGAUAUUACCUUAUGAGAUGUUUUAAAUUAAAGAUUCACUUUUUGUAAUAGAUAUAGAAUUAUUUAAGUGUUGUAUUUCCUCUUUUAUUACUUUCAAGUCAUGUCUAUUUCUUUAUAUUUUCAAAUGCACUGGUAUAAGGUUACCUAGAAUGAUUUCUUAUUACAUUUAUGUUCUGCAGAAUAUAUUGUCAUAUAUCUAUUACUAGCAAUAGUGGUAAUUUAUUUGUUUUUUUCUAUUCCUUUGAUAGUACAAAGUUUGUUCAUUUUAUUAGUGUUUCAAAAGAAUAAACUUUUAGCUUUAAUACCUUUCUACUGUAUUUUUAUUUUGAAGAUAAAAUAAUAAUGUUUUAUGAAAUAAAUAAAUGUUGUUCUCUGCCCUCA